GAUGAACGCUGGCGGCGUGCCUAAUACAUGCAAGUCGAGCGAACAGAUGAGGAGCUUGCUCCUCUGACGUUAGCGGCGGACGGGUGAGUAACACGUGGAUAACCUACCUAUAAGACUGGGAUAACUUCGGGAAACCGGAGCUAAUACCGGAUAAUAUAUUGAACCGCAUGGUUCAAUAGUGAAAGACGGUUUUGCUGUCACUUAUAGAUGGAUCCGCGCCGCAUUAGCUAGUUGGUAAGGUAACGGCUUACCAAGGCAACGAUGCGUAGCCGACCUGAGAGGGUGAUCGGCCACACUGGAACUGAGCCACGGUCCAGACUCCUACGGGAGGCAGCAGUAGGUAAGCUUCCGCAAUGGGCGAAAGCCUGACGGAGCAACGCCGCGUGAGUGAUGAAGGUCUUCGGAUCGUAAAACUCUGUUAUUAGGGAAGAACAAAUGUGUAAGUAACUAUGCACGUCUUGACGGUACCUAAUCAGAAAGCCACGGCUAACUACGUG
RNAcentral lists this ribosomal RNA (497 nucleotides) under uncultured bacterium. Its description in RNAcentral is "partial 16S ribosomal RNA". It matches the Rfam family "Bacterial small subunit ribosomal RNA", at positions 28 to 507 of the family's 1533-position model. The record is from RNAcentral.